Molecule: ribosomal RNA, 497 nt
Filed under: uncultured bacterium
Lineage: Bacteria
Description: partial 16S ribosomal RNA
Rfam family: Bacterial small subunit ribosomal RNA
Source: RNAcentral
GAUGAACGCUGGCGGCGUGCCUAAUACAUGCAAGUCGAGCGAACAGAUGAGGAGCUUGCUCCUCUGACGUUAGCGGCGGACGGGUGAGUAACACGUGGAUAACCUACCUAUAAGACUGGGAUAACUUCGGGAAACCGGAGCUAAUACCGGAUAAUAUAUUGAACCGCAUGGUUCAAUAGUGAAAGACGGUUUUGCUGUCACUUAUAGAUGGAUCCGCGCCGCAUUAGCUAGUUGGUAAGGUAACGGCUUACCAAGGCAACGAUGCGUAGCCGACCUGAGAGGGUGAUCGGCCACACUAGAACUGAGACACGGUCCAGACUCCUACGGGAGGCAGCAGUAGGGAAUCUUCCGCAAUGGGCGAAAGCUUGACGGAGCAACGCCGCGUGAGUGAUGAAGGUCUUCGGAUCGUAAAACUCUGUUAUUAGGGAAGAACAAAUGUGUAAGUAACUAUGCACGUCUUGACGGUACCUAAUCAGAGAGCCACGGCUAACUACGUG